This is a long non-coding RNA of Oncorhynchus kisutch (coho salmon), 1169 nucleotides long. RefSeq lists it as uncharacterized. The transcript is spliced from 3 exons. Lineage: Eukaryota; Metazoa; Chordata; Actinopteri; Salmoniformes; Salmonidae. The record is from RefSeq and is a predicted model, not a curated record.
ACGCACACUCACAUACACUUUUACACUCAUACUUGGCUGCUGCUGCUCUGCUCUGCUCUUUAUUUUUCUAUUUAUUAUUUUACACACAAAGCUUUAUUGUAAUGAAGUAGGCCUACUUUUGGGACUUGUGUUCUGUUCUUUUCAUAAGAAGUAUCUCCACCGAUUCCACCCAGAGCCUUCAUCGGGGUAAUAUUUGCUGUAGCCAAGAACAACUGCUUUGAAACAAUGUCAACCAAUUGGUUCUCCAACCAAAUAAGGUUGAAUUCAGAUAGAGAACAAGACUGCCCAUCGGGACAAGAAUUAAACACACUCAAGGGAAAGUCAAUGCAAAUUUAGAUAAUGUCAUUUUCUGAAUAUGUUUGCAUGUGACCUUUGUGGAGAGAGAAGAGUGAAAUGUGAAACUACACUGACCCAUUGAGAAAACAAUAUCCCCAAAACUUCCACUGGCACUCUGGAAUGGGGAAUCAUUCAAAAACACUUUCUGCAGAAAGCCUUCAUCAGGGUUUAAGUCAUGGGAGACAGACACGUAUUUAAAUAAACACCUGUGCUUAGCUGUGGUCUCAGAAAAUAUAAUUUUUUUCCAGGUCUAUUCAUUAAAUGCUUAGCUGUGGUAUCAGAAUGAAGAGUUUAUCCCAGGUCUAUUCAUUAAAUGCUUAGCUGUGAUAUCAGAAUGAAGAGUUUAUCCCAGGACUACUCUUUGUAAAUCCACCAUGAUGUAUACCCUGAUGAAGCCUCUAUGCUGAAACACUUUGGAAACAGAUAAGUUGAUAUAGUUAAAGUCAUGCCUACUUUGUAAACCAUACGUAACCAAUAAAUCCAUCAAGUCCCAUCGCUCAGUCUGUUGCUCUUUAAGGAGGUGUGGGUUACAUUUGCAAAAGACUUAGCAAAUACUGAAAGCAUAACCUUAAGUGUAAUAACUGUAAAUGUGUAUGUCUUUCUCAUUUAAUGUUUUAGCCUAAUGUGGUUUCAUGGAUAACUUUGUCAGAGACAAAUUAACUGAAUGGAACUUCAGUGAGUAUAUUGACAGAUUCAAAGAUGAAGAAAUUGACAAAGAGAGUUUCCUGCUCCUAGAUGAAAAAGCCUUUGCCAACUUGAUUCCAAAACUUGGUCCAAGGUACAAAUUUCAAGAGAAACACAAGGCGAUACAAAAGGAGUUAGAAAAUGAGGGA